CGCCUCUUGUCAAAACAUAAGAGGUACAGCCUGCCCAGUGAACAUUAAACGGCCACGGUACCCUAACCGUGCUAAGGUAGCACAAUUACUUGUCCUUUAAAUGGGGACUAGAAUGAAAGGCAUCACGAGGGUUAUACUGUCUCCUCUUUUUAAUCAGUGAAACUGACAUCCCCGUGAAAAGGCGGGAAUUAAUAUAUUAGACGAGAAGACCCCAUGGAGCUUUAGACAUCCCGUAAAUCUAAGCACUUUCCUAUUAGCUUCUAAUUUCUACCCUAAGUCUUUGGUUGGGGCAACCAUGGAGUAAAAAUUAACCUCCACACUGAAUGGAUUAUUCCUCAUUCAAGAGCUACCCCUCUAAAAAACAGAAUACUGACACCCACUGAUCCGGAAUCCGAUCAAUGAACCAAGUUACCCUGGGGAUAACAGCGCUAUCUACCUUGAGAGCCCAUAUCGACAGGUGGGUUUACGACCUCGAUGUUGGAUCAGGGUAUCCUAGUGGUGCAGCCGCUACCUAAGGUUCGUUUGUUCAACGAUUAAAACCCU
RNAcentral lists this ribosomal RNA (543 nucleotides) under Cornufer sp. FB-2006. Its description in RNAcentral is "partial 16S ribosomal RNA". It matches the Rfam family "Bacterial large subunit ribosomal RNA", at positions 1829 to 2597 of the family's 2925-position model. Lineage: Eukaryota; Metazoa; Chordata; Amphibia; Anura; Ceratobatrachidae. The record is from RNAcentral.